Long non-coding RNA from Capsicum annuum, 590 nucleotides. RefSeq lists it as uncharacterized. The transcript has 3 exons. NCBI's taxonomy places the organism in Eukaryota, Viridiplantae, Streptophyta, Magnoliopsida, Solanales, Solanaceae. The record is from RefSeq and is a predicted model, not a curated record.
GCUCCACAAAAAAUUAAAAUAAAACCUCACCGAUUCUGCUCUCCAUUCCUCAUGUUUUACAGUUAUUAUUGUGUCAGUAGAGAUCAUGAAUGAUUGAAGGAUAAAAUUUGGUGCAGGUGUAUUGCUUCCAGCCUAUAUAUAUUGCUAAAAUCAACAGUACGUUAAGUUGCAAAGAGAUAUUAAAUCAUAUAGUUAUUCUUGUGCUACCAGCCUACCAUUACACUUGGAAGAGAAUGGAGAAGGCAACGUUGAUUAAGAUUUUCUUGGUCUCUUUUUUUCUUAUUUUGUUAGGACAAGGAAGUAAUGGGCUUUCGUGCAAUGAAGAUGAUGAAUGUAUUAGCAAAGGGCUUGUGUGCGAACAUGAGGCUCCAGUAUGUUGUUGGAAAAAAUGCUAUUGUCCUGUAUGUGACAUAAGGACACGUACUUGCUCUUGUCCAACAACUUAUCAUGGACAAAAAGUCCUUGAGACCAACGAUAAAGAUUAAUUCAUGUUAUUUUGUUACUAUUUAUAAUGAUAAAUAAAAGUAUCCUAUGUUCAUUUUGAAAUUGGAAAAUGAUUUACUCUGUUUGAAUUGAAAGGAGCUGAAAGC